GAUGAACGCUAGCUACAGGCUUAACACAUGCAAGUCGAGGGGCAGCGGGGGUGCAGGCUUGCCUGCACCUGCCGGCGACCGGCGCACGGGUGAGUAACACGUAUGGAACCUGCCCGCCACAGGGGGAUAACCCGGGGAAACCCGGCCUAAUACCCCAUGCCGCCCGGACCGGGCAUCCGGUCCGGGCGAAAGGAGGAAUCCGGUGGCGGCUGGGCAUGCGGCGCAUGAGCUUGACGGCGGGGUAACGGCCCACCGUGGCGACGAUGCGUAGGGGUUCUGAGAGGAAGGCCCCCCACACUGGAACUGAGACACGGUCCAG
This 319-nucleotide ribosomal RNA is filed under the name uncultured bacterium. RNAcentral's name for it is "bacterial SSU rRNA". It matches the Rfam family "Bacterial small subunit ribosomal RNA", at positions 28 to 334 of the family's 1533-position model. The record is from RNAcentral.